Long non-coding RNA from Gavialis gangeticus (Gharial), 146 nucleotides. RefSeq lists it as uncharacterized. NCBI's taxonomy places the organism in Eukaryota, Metazoa, Chordata, Crocodylia, Gavialidae. The transcript is spliced from 3 exons. The record is from RefSeq and is a predicted model, not a curated record.
GCCACAAAUGACAAAGAGCCUCUGCAGGAUACGCUAGGAAAUCUGGUGGUCACCCCAGAUGACAAAGCUAGCCUCUUUAACAAUUGCUUUGCCUCCAUCUUUUUGAGCAGGGACUGGGCAUCCGCCCCACUGGGAUCCCUGAUGGA